GACGAACGCUGGCGGCGUGCUUAACACAUGCAAGUCGAACGGAAAGGCCCUGCUUUUGUGGGGUGCUCGAGUGGCGAACGGGUGAGUAACACGUGAGUAACCUGCCCUUGACUUUGGGAUAACUUCAGGAAACUGGGGCUAAUACCGGAUAGGAGCUCCUGCUGCAUGGUGGGGGUUGGAAAGUUUCGGCGGUUGGGGAUGGACUCGCGGCUUAUCAGCUUGUUGGUGGGGUAGUGGCUUACCAAGGCUUUGACGGGUAGCCGGCCUGAGAGGGUGACCGGCCACAUUGGGACUGAGAUACGGCCCAGACUCCUACGGGAGGCAGCAGUGGGGAAUAUUGCACAAUGGGCGGAAGCCUGAUGCAGCAACGCCGCGUGCGGGAUGACGGCCUUCGGGUUGUAAACCGCUUUCGCCUGUGACGAAGCGUGAGUGACGGUAAUGGGUAAAGAAGCACCGGCUAACUACGUGCCAGCAGCCGCGGUGAUACGUAGGGUGCGAGCGUUGUCCGGAUUUAUUGGGCGUAAAGGGCUCGUAGGUGGUUGAUCGCGUCGGAAGUGUAAUCUUGGGGCUUAACCCUGAGCGUGCUUUCGAUACGGGUUGACUUGAGGAAGGUAGGGGAGAAUGGAAUUCCUGGUGGAGCGGUGGAAUGCGCAGAUAUCAGGAGGAACACCAGUGGCGAAGGCGGUUCUCUGGGCCCUUCCUGACGCUGAGGAGCGAAAGCGUGGGGAGCGAACAGGCUUAGAUACCCUGGUAGUCCACGCUGUAAACGGUGGGUACUAGGUGUGGGGUCCAUUCCACGGGUUCCGUGCCGUAGCUAACGCUUUAAGUACCCCGCCUGGGGAGUACGGCCGCAAGGCUAAAACUCAAAGGAAUUGACGGGGCCCCGCACAAGCGGCGGAGCAUGCGGAUUAAUUCGAUGCAACGCGUAGAACCUUACCUGGGUUUGACAUGGAUCGGGAGCGCUCAGAGAUGGGUGUGCCUCUUUUGGGGUCGGUUCACAGGUGGUGCAUGGCUGUCGUCAGCUCGCGUCGUGAGAUGUUGGGUUAAGUCCCGCAACGAGCGCAACCCUUGUUCACUGUUGCCAGCACGUUAUGGUGGGGACUCAGUGGAGACCGCCGGGGUCAACUCGGAGGAAGGUGGGGAUGACGUCAAGUCACCAUGCCCCUUAUGUCCAGGGCUUCACGCAUGCUACAAUGGCUGGUACAGAGAGUGGCGAGCCUGUGAGGGUGAGCGAAUCUCGGAAAGCCGGUCUCAGUUCGGAUUGGGGUCUGCAACUCGACCUCAUGAAGUCGGAGUCGCUAGUAAUCGCAGAUCAGCAACGCUGCGGUGAAUACGUUCCCGGGGCU
This 1346-nucleotide ribosomal RNA is filed under the name uncultured bacterium. RNAcentral's name for it is "bacterial SSU rRNA". It matches the Rfam family "Bacterial small subunit ribosomal RNA", at positions 28 to 1381 of the family's 1533-position model. The record is from RNAcentral.